CCUAUACUCAAGAACCACUGCGGUUACAGGGAUUUGCAGAGCUGUCCCAGCCACGACAGCCAGGCAGUCACUGCUGUCAGCUUAAAGUGGAUUUAGGAGUCCAGCAACUCUGCUGGCUAGAAGGUGAGGCCAGCGAGUCCACGUGGGAUUCAAAAUCAACUGUUCCGCUAGUGUUUUCGUUGGGUUGGGUGACUGGGGCAGUUUUAAGAUGUCUUCAGUAGAAACGAGUAUCGCCCCAAAGGCCCUCAGCCGUUUAGUGGAUGCGCGUGUUAGCCUUGCUUCUGAAACGGCUGGUUACUUUUAUAAGAGAAGAUUAGAGCACGUCGAUGUCUGCUCCUGGAACAGAGAGCAGUGUCAGGAAUUAUCCUAACAAGUCGCAGGGAACUUAAUGGUUUUGACAGAAGGUCACUUCUCUUUAACCUUCUUGGAGGUUUGUUAAUGUCUGACCCAAUUAAAUAUUAUAUGAAUUGUGUCUUCUGUUUGGAUACAGUGUUGGGGGAGAAUAUCACAUUAAUUAACUGAGAACAAACUGACCCAAGUGAAUCCUUCAUGGAAAUAAAGGUUUAAAGUAGCCAGGUCGAGUGCCCCAGCUGCUGCCCUAUGGUCUAGUGUCACCUGCUGGUAAGACGCGGAACUGCCCUCUUCGUGAAUGCAUCUCACUGCAUUGUCCUUUGUCCAGAAUGAAUCCAGUCAGAUAGUUUCCUUUCCUUCGGGGAACUGUUUACCAGGCAGAAGCUGCUCUGGCUAAGGAUCAUUCUCUCGGCCUGUGUCUGUUUCUCAGUUAUGUGCUGAGCGUCAUCCACACAAGGAGAGCAAGAUGCUCCCUCCGUGGGUCUCGGUGAGAAUCCAGACACCCAGAUCCAUGGCUUCCAAAUCGCUAAGAGCAGUUGUUUUGUUUCUGUGCUGCUGCAGCGAUCUGGAAUGGGUUUUACUAAGACAGAUAUUACAGAACCAAAAAAAACUGCUACUCAGUUCCUACAAGACUUGUUCUCGGCUACACUGUCGCUUGGUAUUCCGUGUUAAACAACGCUGUUUUUGCUACCAAGAAAGGAAGUGAUGUUUCUCGCCAUGCCCAAGUUGUUUGGUAGAUGUGAAUCAAUUAAUUCAAAACAUUUUUUAAAGCAAAGAGGUCUAAGCUUUGUAAGCUGUUGUCUGUGAGGAAUUACAUGUGUUUAGCAGAUGCCUGAGAGUAUUUUUCUAAACAGAACUCUACUCUUACCAUUUUAUUUCUUCUUUCAAAUAAUCUGUCAUUAUAUAUUAAAUUUUUUUGUUGUACAUAUCAGAAUAAAAAGCUUUUCUUUUGAGUUAA
This 1309-nucleotide long non-coding RNA is filed under the name Rattus norvegicus (Norway rat). RNAcentral's name for it is "long non-coding RNA NONRATT013941". Lineage: Eukaryota; Metazoa; Chordata; Mammalia; Rodentia; Muridae. The record is from RNAcentral.